This 810-nucleotide ribosomal RNA is filed under the name uncultured bacterium. RNAcentral's name for it is "bacterial SSU rRNA". It matches the Rfam family "Bacterial small subunit ribosomal RNA", at positions 8 to 796 of the family's 1533-position model. The record is from RNAcentral.
AGAGUUUGAUCCUGGCUCAGAACGAACGCUGGCGGCGUGGAUAAGACAUGCAAGUCGAGCGAGAUUUUUCGUUGUAGCAAUACGAUGGAAAGUCUAGCGGCGAACGGGUGCUUAACGCGUGGGCAACCUGCCAUGAAGUGGGGGAUAGCUCGCCGAAAGGCGAAUUAAUACCGCAUGUGAUUAGAGAGGACAUCCUUUCGAAAUUAAAGUCGGGGCAACCUGACGCUUCUUGUGGGGCCCGCGGCCUAUCAGCUAGUUGGUGAGGUAACGGCUCACCAAGGCUUUGACGGGUAGCUGGUCUGAGAGGACGACCAGCCACACUGGGACUGAGACACGGCCCAGACACCUACGGGUGGCAGCAGUCGAGAAUUUUUGACAAUGGGGGAAACCCUGAUCGAGCGACGCCGCGUGGAGGAUGAAGGUCUUCGGAUUGUAAACUCCUGUCAUUGGGGAACAAGGUGCAUACGUUAACUGCGUGUGCAUUGAUAGUACCCGAAGAGGAAGAGACGGCUAACUCUGUGCCAGCAGCCGCGGUAAUACAGAGGUCUCAAGCGUUGUUCGGAUUCAUUGGGCGUAAAGGGUGCGUAGGCGGCGCGGUAAGUCGGGUGUGAAAUCUCGGAGCUUAACUCCGAAACUGCAUUCGAUACUGCCGUGCUUGAGGACUGGAGAGGAGACUGGAAUUUACGGUGUAGCGGUGAAAUGCGUAGAUAUCGUAAGGAAGACCAGUGGCGAAGGCGGGUCUCUGGACAGUUCCUGACGCUGAGGCACGAAGGUCAGGGGAGCAAACGGGAUUAGAUACCCUAGUAGUCC